This 5013-nucleotide long non-coding RNA is filed under the name Homo sapiens (human). RNAcentral describes it as "non-protein coding lnc-ABCA1-8:4". The record is from RNAcentral. Lineage: Eukaryota; Metazoa; Chordata; Mammalia; Primates; Hominidae.
AGAGUCGGCGCUCCCGCAGGGGCCUCCGAGUGCGGGGAGGCCGCGGGGCCCGGGUCACGGCACUAAGGGGGGAUGGGGUGCAAGCGAGCAAGCGAGGUCUGCGGAGCGGGCCGUGGAAGGGCUCCGGGACCCGCUGAAACCAUCUGAACCCAGCCAGGGGGCAGCGGGCAAGAGAAAAGGGACAGAAUAUCUAAUGAAGCAGAAACUGGAAUUCGGUGGGAGAGGUGAAGAGCUCUUGCUGGGGGUACACCUGCGAGGAGCACAGAAAACGGGCGGCGGAUGGCGGGGAGACUCCACGGAGGUGGAAGAGAGGAGCCAGGCCCGGAAGAACAGGGAAGGGGAUGCCACCUGGGGCAGAGGAGGCGCCAGUGCAGCCUCUACCUGCAGGCGGGCGGGACGGGCAGCUCAGGUGUGACUGGGAGGAGGGGGCCGACUGGGGAAGGGGCCGGGAAGAGCUGAGGGCGCACUAGGCGCCGCGCAGAGGCGCCUUUGAGUCGGCAGCCGCGGAGCCAGCGCACGGGCAUCGGCGGGACCCGGCGGACGGAAAGGCGGAGUGGGGGUCUUUGGACUGCACGACUAUAAUUUCAUGUGUGUGAAAUUCAAGGGGAAAAAGGAAACAAUACAUAAUCCAGCAUCACCAGUGUCACACUUCAGGACCUGAUGAAAUGUUUUAUCUUCUGAAAAGCUUUCCUGGCUCAGAUGAGGUGACUCAUGUCAGCCUACACAAAGGCUUCUUCAUAUACUAGAAUUUCUACUAUAAUUUUUCAGCCUUUCCACAAAACAAGUCUUACCAUAAUCCAGCAACAGAGCAAAAGAGAAGUCAAUGAUGAGAAGCUUGAUAAUGUAAAGGUUUAGUUCUAAGUCUGUAGCUUCUCAUGGAUCGUGCAAAGCACCACCAGGACAGACAUCUCAAGCACAUUUGAAGAGCUCCUGUUUCCUAAGUAAGACAGCAGCAGCAAGACUGCAAUCAUUUCUGGGAAGGCAGUAUCAUCAUAAUGCAAUAUUAGCUACUGUGAUCUUCUAUCAUUUCCUUCCUGGAGAGUUAUGACUGUGGCAUUGAAGAUUUAAGACCUACAGCCUCAACACUACUUACUACAAAUCUCUCACAAAGCUGCUGCAAUAAAUCUCGUGGAGGAAAGUCAUUGCAUAAAAAAAUCCUCAACUCCAGGGAGUUGGCCAUUUAUUUUCCUAGAAAAGGGGCUGUGAUGAGAGACACUCCAUGCUCCUUUAACUCCAUGGAACAGAACCCAACAAAACAUUCAUCAUGGAAAGUUGACUGAUGGGCCCAGUGAGACUAGCUGGGGAAGGAAGAUGGAAAGAGAAGUGCCCCAUCCAAGGCCUGCUCCUUUUCCUAGCUGCAGCCCGGAGGGAUUUCCUCUUAGCUUGAGGAUUGACUUUCCAUAGAAUCAGCACCACUGAGGGUAAGCUUCCCUGAAGACAAACUCUGUCAUUGGAGAGCUCAGCCAGGGGUCUAAAACUGGACCCUAUGGACUCCACAGAUUUAUUUAGUCUGCACAGUGUUUAAAAAUGUUUUUAGUUAGGGCCAGGCAUGGUGGCUCCCACCUGUAAUCCCAGCACUUUGAGAGGCCGAGGUGGGUGGAUCACCUAAGGUCAGGAGUUUGAGACCAGCCUGCCUGACAUGGCAAAACCCAGUCUCUACUAAAAAUACAAAAAUUAGCUGGGCAUGGUUGCUCAGGCCUGUAAUCUCAGAUACUUGGGAGGCUGAGGCACAAGAAUCACUUGAACCUGGGAGGCGGAGGUUGCAGUGAGCCAAGAUCGCACCAUUGCACUCCAGCUUGGGUGACAAGAGUGAAACUCCAUCUCAAAAAAAAAAAAAAAAGUUUCUAGUUAGUUCCCAACAUAAAAAAUUAACAAUUUUGCAAAGAAAGAUAAAAUCCAGAUUUUGGGCUCCCCUAAACAAAUUGGGAUAUCUGAAAACAGUGGGCCACAUUCCUACAUUCCUGCCCCUGUUGACAGUAUGCGCCUGCUCUAAUUUUACUUCCCCUUUUACCCUAACUGCCCUGUAGGGAAUGGAGUUUGCAAUCCCCAUACUAAUCCAUCACCCUGCAGGUCCAUUCCCCUCCUCCCUGACCUCUGUUCUGAUAAGGGGUGAGAGAAUGAACCCCCAUAUGUAUUGAUGAGAAAAUACAACUGACUAAUCCCACCUAAACCAUGACCUCAUAUAAAUUCAGAAGAUCUUUCUAACAUGGCAGGGAGGCAGCCUAGUAUAAAGCAAAGAGCACAUGCUUUGCGAAUGUAAACCAAAAAUAAAAGUUGAAGGCCCUCCUCACCAUAUGAAUGGUCUCCUUCCUUUGCCAGGGCACCCUAAAAUUUAACUGGUUGAGGCCAUGAUGGGUAGUAGGGGUUGGACAUGCCUCAUUAUACCCUUCCAGCAGUAACAUCAACACAGACUUUAAGUCUGAUAAGAAACAUUUACAGUCUAUUUUCUCUAAAGCCUGCUACUUGGAGAUAUAAAACCUAGGUCUCCACAACCCCUAUUGUAACCCAGCCAUUUCUUUCUAAUGAUAAUAAGUCUUUCAACCAAUUGCCAAUCAGAAUAUGUUUAAAUCUUCCUAUGACCUAGAAGCACCCCACUCUUUGAGUUGUCCCACCCUUCCAGAUUGAACCAAUGUAAAUGGUUCAAUUGAUUGAUGUGUUAUAUCUCCCUAAAGUGUAUAAAAGGAAGCUGUACCUCAACCAUCUUGGGCACGCGUCUUCAGGAACUCCUGAGUCUGUGUCACAGGUGUGUCCUUAACCUUGGCAAAGUAAACUUUCCAUUACUUAUAAUGGCAAAAACUGCAAUUACUUUUGCACCAACCUAAUAAAUGGAUUGAGACUUGCCUCAGAUACUUAUUGGUUUAUACCUAGAGGCAGACCUUGGCUCAAAUCCCAUCUCUCCCUUACUCUGGGAUAUUGUCCAACUUGCUCAGCCUCUUGAAACCUACUUUGCUUACAGCAAAAUGGGUAUAAGGGGAUCUUUCACCCAAGCCUUUUGUGAGGACUAAAUGUGGUAAUGGACAUUAAGUGCCAGACCCCUUGAAUGUGCCAUCUUCUCUCAGCUUCUAUAAUGUCAUGCUGUCAGUUCCCUCCUUUUCUUUUUUUCUUUUCUUUUCUUUUUUUUUUUUUUUUUUGAGACGGAGUCUUGCUCUGUCCCCCAGGCUGGAGUGCAGUGGCACGAUCUCGGCUCACUGCAAGCUCCGCCUCCCGGGUUCACGCCAUUCUCCUGCCUCAGCCUUCCGAGUAGCUGGGACUACAGGCGUCCGUCACCGCGCCUGGCUAAUUGUUUUUGUAUUUUUCUUAGAGACUGGGUUUCACAGUGGUCUCGAUCUCCUGACCUCGUGGUCCGCCCGCCUCGGCCUCCCAAAGUGCUGGGAUUACAGGUGUGAGCCACCGCGCCCAGCCUAGUUCCCUCCUUUUCAUGGCUUCUUUGCUUCAUCUUUUCUGUCUCCUUUGAAGGUAUGCCUUCCUGGAAUAUACCAUAAAUGUCAGUGUUCCUCAGGAUUCUAUCUUGACCUGACUCCCCCGACCCAACUGCUAGCUUUUCCCUCUGUCUAAUGCUGGUACAGAUACAUAAACUGAUAGGUAGAUUACAACACAAUUCGAUUUUCUGUUUUGCUUUUUUUUUUGGCUUAUUAUUACAUAAACUUUUUUUCAUUGCUGCCAUACAUUCUUCAAAAUAAACACUUCGGGGGGCGAGCUGGCCCAGCACUUUGGGAGGCCAAGGAGGUGGAUCACUUCAGGUCAGGAGUUCGAGACCAGCCUGACCAACAUGGUGAAACCCCCAUCUCUACUAAAAAUACAAAAAUUAGCCGGGUGUUGGUGCAAGCACCUGUAAUCUCAACUGCUCGGGAGGCUGAGGCAUGAAAAUCACUUGAACCCGCGAGGCAGAGGUUGCAGUGAGCCAAUAUAGUACCACUGUACUCCAGCCUGGGCAACAGAGCUGCGAGACCUUGUCUCAAACAAAACAAAACAAAACAAAAUAAACACUUCAUGGCUGAACAAUAUGCCAUUUCCUGAAUAGAUUGUAAUUUACCUAAUCAUUUCUCUAAUAGUGGACACUUAGGUUGUUCUAAUUUUGAAAGGCAGGAAUACCAAGAAUGUUUUCUUGCACAUGGCAGAUUAUUUCUCAGUAUAGGCUCAUCCUUUCGAGUAUAUGGCAUCUUUUCUUCUUUCCCUCCUCUCUCUCCUCAGAAGUACUCAAGGCCCCGGAGAUACUUUGGCUGUAUCCCCACCAAUCUCAUCUUGAAUUGUAGCUCCCAUGAUUCCCAUGUAUCCUGAGAGGGACCCAGUGGGAGGUAAUUGAAUCAUGGGGGCAGGUCUUUCCCGUGCUGUUCUAGAGAUAGUGAAUGAGUCUCACAAGAUCUGAUGGUUUUAUAAAGGGCGGUUCCCCUACACAAGUUCUCUCUUGCCUGCCACUUUGCUCCUCAUUUGCUCUCUGCCAUGACUGUGAGCCCUCCCCAGCCAUAUGCAACUGUGAGUCAAUUAAACCUCUUUUCUUAAUAAAUUACCCAGUCUCUGGUAUGUCUGUAUUAGCAGUGUGAGACAGACUAAUACAGCCCUUAUGUGUCCAGAAGUACUGACUUUCUUGGAUGAUACCUUAAGUAAAGCCUAAUAAAGCUUUAGUGACUGAUACAUUUUUAAAAAUGAAGUAAUUAUUUAUGUGUAAUGAGACAAAUUAUUUAUUUCAGAGUGUUAUUUGCCUUACUCUCUUCCCCCAGCAAAAGGAGUCCUCAAGUGGCCAGCCACAUUUUCUCAUUUCUCCUUUCUUCAAAAACUGAUGGGAUCUUGCUUGAUGAAGUCACAUAACAAGUGAAUACAGCAAAGAGAGAGGGAAGGGGGAGGAAAUAGCCGUUGGGAAUGGAGUGUUGUUGGAUGAGCUUUGUGAAGUGUGGGAAGAGAAAGAUACUAGAGGAGACCGAGACAAAUGGAUAGGUGAAGAAACAGAAUUUUAGUAAGUGGUGCUGUAUGCUAUAUAUGUGGAUUUGCCUCAAAGUUUUAAAAAAUGGCAAGCAG